UAUCCCAUGUGCAGGAGCAGGGUCUUAGCUAGGAUUUUAGAUCUUGGGCGUGUUUCUAAAUGACCAGGGUGUGCCCAUGUAAUAGCCAAAUUCACGGUUCUAGUUAUGCUUGCCAGCAACAGACAAUGCCUGUGGUUGUUGUAUGAGUUGCAACCAAAUACAAGGCUAUACGCUCACACUGCGUACUGACAUUAAAAUAGUAUAAGUUAUUUUAGCAACUCUUGGGGGUAUUUAAAGCCAUUUUAACACCAUUCCCAUUAUCCAUCAAAACAUCACGGAUGACUUUUGCCAAAUUCAACAACAACAGUAGAUUUACAAUCUUUCUUACGACGUAAAUAGGAAGAAAUUCUGUCUGUUGUAAGUAGCAACACGUUAUUUUAUGAACCUACACGGCCUUAUAUAAAUAAUGAAGCCGC
Paramuricea clavata is the source of this 416-nucleotide non-coding RNA. The record is from the annotation of a GenBank genome assembly. Lineage: Eukaryota; Metazoa; Cnidaria; Anthozoa; Malacalcyonacea; Plexauridae.